GCUAUCCCAACCAUAAAAUUAAUGUGUUAACCGACAUGGAGCCAAAAACACCAGCAUCUGAUAUCACAUAUCAUCACAGCGGCAAGGAUAAUCUUUGCCCAAAACUGGAAAUCAACAAUGAUACCCACGGACCUGGCAAUAA
Non-coding RNA from Pseudonaja textilis, 142 nucleotides. The record is from RefSeq and is a predicted model, not a curated record. NCBI's taxonomy places the organism in Eukaryota, Metazoa, Chordata, Lepidosauria, Squamata, Elapidae.